GAGAGACGGACCAGAGGACUCUACAGACACACAGAGAGACAGACCAGAGGACUCUACAGACACACAGAGAGACAGACCAGAGGACUCUACAGACACACAGAGAGACGGACCAGAGGACUCUACAGAGAGACAGACCAGAGGACUCUACAGACACACAGAGAGACAGACCAGAGGACUCUACAGACACACAGAGAGACAGACCAGAGGACUCUACAGACACACAGAGAGACAGACCAGAGGACUCUACAGAGAGACAGACCAGAGGACUCUACAGACACACAGAGAGACAGACCAGAGGACUCUACAGAGAGACAGACCAGAGGACUCUACAGACACACAGAGAGACAGACCAGAGGACUCUACAGAGAGACAGACCAGAGGACUCUACAGACACACAGAGAGACAGACCAGAGGACUCUACAGACACACAGAGAGACAGACCAGAGGACUCUACAGAGACACAGAGAGACAGACCAGAGGACUCUACAGAGUCACAGAGAGACAGACCAGAGGACUCUACAGAGAGACAGAACAGAGGACUCUACAGAGACACAGAAGGCUUCAGCCUACCAGACCAGGCCUCAGGAUGGACCAUGUUGUUAAGUUUGAAGGGAUUCCCAUGUCUAAGUCCAUGAGAGGGAUGUGUAAGGAGGAGGACUAUGCGUUCCUGGGAGAGAAGGGGAAAAGCCACAAGGAGACAGAUACGCUGGGAGAAGACUGGAAGGAAGACAAAGUGGAGAGGGUGCGGCGGCGUCGGGAGCGAGUGCAGCAGGAGCAGGACAGAAUCCGAGACCAGGA
Molecule: long non-coding RNA, 798 nt
Organism: Oncorhynchus keta (chum salmon)
Lineage: Eukaryota; Metazoa; Chordata; Actinopteri; Salmoniformes; Salmonidae
Exons: 4
Source: RefSeq, a predicted model, not a curated record